RNAcentral lists this ribosomal RNA (484 nucleotides) under uncultured bacterium. RNAcentral describes it as "partial 16S ribosomal RNA". It matches the Rfam family "Bacterial small subunit ribosomal RNA", at positions 28 to 507 of the family's 1533-position model. The record is from RNAcentral.
AUUGAACGCUGGCGGCAUGCUUUACACAUGCAAGUCGAACGGCAGCGCGGGCUUCGGCCUGGCGGCGAGUGGCGAACGGGUGAGUAAUGCAUCGGAACGUGCCCCGUAGUGGGGGAUAGUCCGUCGAAAGCCGGAUUAAUACCGCAUACGACCUGCGGGUGCAAGCGGGGGACCGAAAGGCCUCGCGCUCUUGGAGCGGCCGAUGUCGGGGUAGCUAGUUGGUGGGGGAAAGGCUUACCAAGGCGACGAUUCGUAGCUGGUCUGAGAGGAGGACAAGCCACACGGGAACGGAGACACGGACCAGACUCCUACGGGAGGCAGCAGUGGGGAAUUUUGGACAAUGGGGGCAAACCUGAUCCAGCCAGGCCGCGUGCGGGAAGAAGGCCUUCGGUUUGUAAACCGCUUUUGUUCGGGAAGAAAUCCUCUGGGCUAAUACCACGGGGGGAUGACGGUACCGGAAGAAUAAGCACCGGCUAACUACGUG